GAUUAACGCUAGCGGCAGGCCUAAUACAUGCAAGUCGAACGGCAGCACGGGUAGUAAUACCUGGUGGCGAGUGGCGCACGGGUGAGUAACACGUAUGCAAUCUACCUUUAACUGGGGAAUAACCCUUCGAAAGAAGGGCUAAUACCGCAUAACACUGCGAUGGGGAUUCCCAAUGCAGUUAAACCUGAGGGGGUUAAGAUGAGCAUGCGUCCGAUUAGUUAGUUGGCGAGGUAAUGGCUCACCAAGACUUCGAUCGGUAGGGGGUCGUGAGAGGAUGAUCCCCCA
Molecule: ribosomal RNA, 285 nt
Filed under: uncultured bacterium
Lineage: Bacteria
Description: partial 16S ribosomal RNA
Rfam family: Bacterial small subunit ribosomal RNA
Source: RNAcentral